CUGGAACCCAUCCUUGCUCUCCAGGGACCCACAGGGAAGUGGCCUGUGGUUGUCCCAACCCUGCAUCAAGCCCACUUCCCUGGCAGAGGGAGAGGGAAGGAUGCCUUUCCCCUCCUGUGCUCAGGCAGAAAGUGGUGUGUGUGCCGUCGACUCAUGUUCACAGAUCCCAUGGCCCAACCUGGUCCCACAGCCUCCACUGCAAAGCUUGGGGUUCACCACCUGCCCAGGUGACAUCAAGUGUGAAUGACAUCUUCGCUGGGUAGAAAAAUGGCACUGUGCCAAGUGAGGAAGCGAGUCCCUGCCUGCCAGAAACACCAAUGGAGGGUUAGCAGGCAGAGCCGGGGGUGUCCACAGCUGCUGCAGAAUGUCCCGAGGCGUCAGGCACCACUGUACAAGUGAACAGUGCACUUUUAAAAAGCUGAGACUCCUCUCCUGUCCUAAAGCAUGACAGACACUGGUGUCUGUCCCUGUGACCCUGUGUCCCCACAGUCCACCGCAAACAGAAUCCUCUCAGACACAACACACGCCGACCAGCAUGAAGUCACCCAGAUGACGGGGAGGAAGAGGGACUGAAGUGUCCCCUCCCCAGCAGGAGUGAGCAGGCUGUGCCUCUACCUUGGAAAUCACUGAACAGCUGUGAAACACGUUUUUGAUGAUUAUAGGUGAAAAUUCAAAGUCCAAGGUCGAAGGACUUGCAGAGGAGCAGGUCAUGGAGGUGGCCUCAGCAGCUUGGUGACUGAGCUGGUCCUCAGCAUAAACUUGCAUCUAAAUCGUAAACGACGGUUACUUCACUGGAAAUCAAAGUCACCGAGAGUGAGAGGGAAAAAGCCUUGCCCAAGAAGCACAAGGUCAGAAACAGAGGGACCAGGGCAGAGCGUGCCACAGCCAGGCCUUGGCCAUCUGCUGGAGGGGCCUUGCACUCCCACACUGGUGCCAGCCUGCUCACCCC
RNAcentral lists this long non-coding RNA (949 nucleotides) under Marmota monax (woodchuck). Lineage: Eukaryota; Metazoa; Chordata; Mammalia; Rodentia; Sciuridae. The record is from RNAcentral.